UUUUUUUUUUUUUUUUUUUUUUUUUUUUAGAAUUCACAUUGCUACUUUCGGGAGAACUGAUUUCCUUACUAUGUUCUUUUUGUGACUGAAAGGUCAUCCUAUUAAUAGAAGGAGUAGUAGCCACUUGUUCUUUCUUUUGCGGUGCUGGGAACUGAACCCAGGGCCUCGCACACGCUAGGCAAGCGCUUUAGGGCUGAGCCACACCUCCAGCCUGGAAGAUCCCUUUUAAUUGCUGGCAAACAGCUUUAAGUGCACUUUCUUUGAUUACACUUCCAUGUUUUUGUUAAACUUGAAUUUUCUGAAGCCUUUUAUGUACCACUAAGCUAAUAACUUUAAUCUUUAAAUAAACCGGGUUUAUAUCCUUAGUUAUAUUUCUAAUUGUUAUAAAACAUGCUUUCUAAAGUAACUUAAGCCCUCAAAUGUAGCUGGGAGACAUUUGAAAUAGAAUUCAGUUGCUUCCCCUGUACCCAGAAAAGCACUAAUUUUAUUACCUUAUUGCCUUUAUAUUGCUUAGUCUUGAAUUCUGUUCACUAUUUUGUUUGAGAUUUAAAGUUAUUUUCUUACUGUAUUUAUCAUACCUACUGUUUUAAUAAUCAGCCUUCUUUAAAUGCAAUAAAUCCCAAAUGGAUUGCUUAUUCUUU
This 641-nucleotide long non-coding RNA is filed under the name Mus musculus (house mouse). RNAcentral's name for it is "long non-coding RNA chr5:97091222-97091863". The record is from RNAcentral. Lineage: Eukaryota; Metazoa; Chordata; Mammalia; Rodentia; Muridae.